CCCUCGGUGGUGGAAAUGGUUAAUGCACUUGGCUGCUAACCAAAAAGUUGGUGAUUCAAAUCCACCCAGAGGUG
Molecule: transfer RNA, 74 nt
Organism: Loxodonta africana (African savanna elephant)
Lineage: Eukaryota; Metazoa; Chordata; Mammalia; Proboscidea; Elephantidae
Rfam family: tRNA
About the family: Transfer RNA (tRNA) molecules are approximately 80 nucleotides in length.
Source: Rfam